Molecule: long non-coding RNA, 217 nt
Filed under: Mytilus galloprovincialis (Mediterranean mussel)
Lineage: Eukaryota; Metazoa; Mollusca; Bivalvia; Mytilida; Mytilidae
Source: RNAcentral
AUUUACUCAUGAACUGUUCUAUCAAAGCUUUUAAAAUUUUAAUAUCUUGUUGCUGACAACAAAAUGGAGGUCAAAUCCAAAUUAUUUUGGAAAUCUUCUCACAUUGUAAUUGUUAAACUUCUUAUUAAUGUAAUAAAUGGAAUUUAGAAGUGAUAACUAACAAAACGGAAGUAGUUGUAUUAAAAAAUGGCUGGCAUUAAAAAAAAUUACAAACACA